GGUCAGGCAGAAAAGUCUACUGGAGGGGCCGGGCGUGGUGGCUCAUGCCUACAAUCUGAGCACUUUGGGAGGCUGAGGCGGGUGGAUCUCCAGAGGUCGGGAGUUCGAGACCAGCCUGGCCAACGUGGAGAAACCCUGUCUCUACUAAAAAUUCAAAAAUAACCGGGAAUGGUGGCGCAUGCCUGUAAUCCCAGCUACUCGGGAGGCUGGGACAGGAGACUCGCUUGAACCCGGGAGGCAGAGGUUGCAGUCAGCCGAGAUCACGCCACUGCACUCCAGCCUGGGCAACAAAGAGUGAAACUCUGUCUCAAAGAAAAAAAGAAAUCUACUGGAGGAGAAUCAGCUGCUGUGCCAGAGGCAAGGUAUGACUCUGUGGCCCAGGCUGAAGUGCAGUGGUGCAACCACAGCUCGCUGCAGCCUCGACCUCCCCGGCUCAUGUGAUCCUCCCACCUCUGCAGCCUCGACCUCCCCGGCUCAUGUGAUCCUCCCACCUCAGCAGCCUCGACCUCCCCGGCUCAUGUGAUCCUCCCACCUCAGCAGCCUCGACCUCCCCGGCUCAUGUGAUCCUCCCACCUCUGCAGCCUCGACCUCCCCGGCUCAUGUGAUCCUCCCACCUCUGCAGCCUCGACCUCCCAGGCUCAUGUGAUCCUCCCACCUCUGCAGCCUCGACCUCCCCGGCUCAUGUGAUCCUCCCACCUCAGCCUCCCAAAGCACUGCGAUUUCAGCCCACACUCAGCCCAUUCUUUGUAGUAUUAAACUGUCCCUGUUCAAAUUACUGUGUGGCUCUCCUUUCUCGACUGGAGACUAAUAAUGUAUAUUUUAAUACAGGUUUUUUUUUUUAAGAUGGAGUCUCACUGUGUCACCCAGGCUGGAGUGCAGUGGCAUGAUCUCGGCUCACUGCAAGUUCCACCUCCCGGGUUCACGC
This 925-nucleotide long non-coding RNA is filed under the name Homo sapiens (human). RNAcentral describes it as "HSALNT0226195". The record is from RNAcentral. Lineage: Eukaryota; Metazoa; Chordata; Mammalia; Primates; Hominidae.